GUUUAACCAAAUUUGAGUAUUCCCCAGCACCGUCAGCCAACACUCAGCAAGAGACAUCAUAAAGAGAAAGUUCUUAUUAUCGGUCAAACAUAUUUGUAUAGUGUGGACACUGUGGAACUGGAGAAUUAGGCCUUCAACGUUAAUCAUUUUAAUGGAGAUUCAUCCAUGUAACAGCCUUCCAUUGCAUGGUGUGAACAUACAAAUUCUAGG
This is a non-coding RNA of Pelobates cultripes (western spadefoot toad), 210 nucleotides long. The record is from the annotation of a GenBank genome assembly. Lineage: Eukaryota; Metazoa; Chordata; Amphibia; Anura; Pelobatidae.